Molecule: long non-coding RNA, 903 nt
Filed under: Musa acuminata (dwarf banana)
Lineage: Eukaryota; Viridiplantae; Streptophyta; Magnoliopsida; Zingiberales; Musaceae
Description: long non-coding RNA (MACU_LNC003631)
Source: RNAcentral
GCCAAGCUCACAUUUCUGCACGAUUUAAGAUCACGAGUUCGAUCGGUCAUGGUGACUGAACUUGAGUGCUUCUUAGAGCUGUGAAUGUGUGUAAUCCAGUAAGUAUAUUACAUGGUACAGUUCAACCAAUUUACACAGUGAACGACAGUUCGUGGAUUCAAUUGGCCCAAUGGCUCCUAUCUUACGAAUCUUCUCUCACUAUGUAUAUGCGUAGCACAAUAAGUAGCAAAUUUAUGGAUGAUCACAAGCGACUAUGAAGCAACUGCAUAUAUCAACAUCAUGAAAGAGAAGGGGAAGCUUGUUCUCGGCAUGCAACGUGCUCUCCGACUUCCUUAGAUCUCCCUUCAUAGGAGAAGGAAGAUCGCAGGCGCUUAGAUCAAGAGAAGAACAAUUGGAGCGAUGGCGAGAAGCUCGAGGCAACUCGAAGAAGAAGAAGAUAACAGAGGAGAUGUACCUAAGCACGUGCCGGCGGUCUCGACAGCGUUGAUGUUGAUGCACAACCUCACUGAAGCGAGUCACCGCCGUCGACCGUCGUGAUGAGCACAAUCUCACUGUACUCGUCUCCUCCUCUUCGCUCGCUCUCCUUUUCGGUCCGUCACUGGCGGUGAGCGUACAUAUAGAGUUAGGCAACCGUGCAAGCGUGAGAUGGGACGACCACGGCGUAGAAUGUGGCUUCCUAAGGUAACACAUGACACACUCAACACGCAUCAUAAAGUGAGAUCAUGUUUGGCUAAGAGGAAGUGAUGUCGUACCUCAAUGGACUGGACUUGGAUUGCAUGAGGGUUGAUACGGUUCUGAUUCGAUCGAAUCAUAUUCGCAAGUAUUGGGUUGGAUCAAACUCAAGCAGCCCAGCCCAACCGAUUAUUCCAGAUAAUUUCGGGUACCGAUCUCUGCUAAGCGCUU